Molecule: ribosomal RNA, 292 nt
Filed under: uncultured bacterium
Lineage: Bacteria
Description: partial 16S ribosomal RNA
Rfam family: Bacterial small subunit ribosomal RNA
Source: RNAcentral
GUGUCAGCCGCCGCGGUAAUACGGAGGGGGCCAGCGUUGUUCGGAAUCAUUGGGCGUAAAGGGCGCGUAGGCGGCCGAUCAAGUCCGACGUGAAAUUCCUCGGCUCAACCGAGGGCCUGCGUCGGAUACUGCUCGGCUUGAGUCCCGGAGAGGGUAGUGGAAUUCCCAGUGUAGCGGUGAAAUGCGUAGAUACUGGGAGGAACACCGGUGGCGAAGGCGGCUACCUGGACGGGUACUGACGCUGAGGCGCGAAAGCUAGGGGAGCAAACAGGAUUAGAUACCCUCGUAGUCC